Molecule: ribosomal RNA, 495 nt
Filed under: uncultured bacterium
Lineage: Bacteria
Description: partial 16S ribosomal RNA
Rfam family: Bacterial small subunit ribosomal RNA
Source: RNAcentral
UGAACGCUGGCGGCGUGCCUAAUACAUGCACGUCGAGCGAACGGACGAGAAGCUUGCCUCUCUGAUGUUAGCGGCGGACGGGUGAGUAACACGUGGAUAACCUACCUAUAAGACUGGGAUAACUUCGGGAAACCGGAGCUAAUACCGGAUGAUAUUUUGAACCGCAUGGUUCAAAAGUGAAAGACGGUCUUGCUGUCACUUAUAGAUGGAUCCGCGCUGCAUUAGCUAGUUGGUAAGGUAACGGCUUACCAAGGCAACGAUGCAUAGCCGACCUGAGAGGGUGGUCGGCCACACUGGAACUGAGACACGGUCCAGACUCCUACGGGAGGCAGCAGUAGGGAAUCUUCCGCAAUGGGCGAAAGCCUGACGGAGCAACGCCGCGUGAGUGAUGAAGGUCUUCGGAUCGUAAAACUCUGUUAUUAGGGAAGAACAUAUGUGUAAGUAACUGUGCACAUCUUGACGGUACCUAAUCAGAAAGCCACGGCUAACUACGUG